RNAcentral lists this ribosomal RNA (510 nucleotides) under uncultured bacterium. RNAcentral describes it as "partial 16S ribosomal RNA". It matches the Rfam family "Bacterial small subunit ribosomal RNA", at positions 28 to 507 of the family's 1533-position model. The record is from RNAcentral.
GACGAACGCUGGCGGCGUGCUUAACACAUGCCAGUCGAACGGGAUGAUUUAGAAGCUUGCUUUUAGAGAAUCUAGUGGCAAACGGGUGAGUAACACGUAGGCAACCUGCCGACAGGAUGGGGACAACAUUCCGAAAGGAAUGCUAAUACCGAAUGAAGCGCAGGAGAGGCAUCUCUCCUGCGUGAAAGAUGGCCUCUAUUUAUAAGCUAUCACCUGUCGAUGGGCCUGCGUCUGAUUAGCUGGUUGGUGAGGUAACGGCUCACCAAGGCGACGAUCAGUAGCCGGUCUGAGAGGAUGAACGGCCACAUUGGGACUGAGACACGGCCCAGACUCCUACGGGAGGCAGCAGUGGGGAAUCUUCCGCAAUGGGCGCAAGCCUGACGGAGCAACGCCGCGUGAGUGAAGAAGGUCUUCGGAUCGUAAAGCUCUGUUGAUGGGGACGAACGUGCGAAGGGUGAAUAAACCUUUGUAAUGACGGUACCUGUCGAGGAAGCCACGGCUAACUACGUG